AUCAAUCGACGGACAAUAUUGACUACAGCAAAUAUAUCUCUUUUAUAUCAGAUUCGAUCAUACAGCACCGCACAUCUCAAUAUCUUUCCAUUUUUGCGGGUUGUUUGUGAACAAGUAAUUUAUAGCUGUUUGGUGGAGAACAUUGCUUGCCAUCCAUUCAUUUGCAGUUGCACUCCUCUAAUGGUUUUGAUGCUUGCUAUUUUGAAUUUCAGCGGAUGAAGUAUACAUUUGGAUGCACUCAUGGUAAGAGACAUCAGUUGCAGACAACUACAAAUUAGGCUUCCCGAGCAUUGAAAAUGGAACUUACAACUACUUGCUGCA
Molecule: long non-coding RNA, 321 nt
Filed under: Ricinus communis (castor bean)
Lineage: Eukaryota; Viridiplantae; Streptophyta; Magnoliopsida; Malpighiales; Euphorbiaceae
Description: long non-coding RNA (RCOM_LNC001293)
Source: RNAcentral